RNAcentral lists this small nucleolar RNA (107 nucleotides) under Ricinus communis (castor bean). RNAcentral's name for it is "Plant small nucleolar RNA R71". It matches the Rfam family "Plant small nucleolar RNA R71". Rfam says of the family: R71 is a member of the C/D box family of snoRNAs containing the C (UGAUGA) and D (CUGA) box motifs. Multiple nearly identical copies of this snoRNA have been identified in Arabidopsis, and it is thought to function as a 2'-O-ribose methylation guide for 18S ribosomal RNA. Lineage: Eukaryota; Viridiplantae; Streptophyta; Magnoliopsida; Malpighiales; Euphorbiaceae. The record is from Rfam by way of RNAcentral.
AAACCAUGAUGUGGACAACUCGUCAAAAAAUCCUUGAAUCAUUCCCAACAAUCAUAUAGAGUUUCAUUCUCCUACUGAAGAAACCCUGCUAUGUCAUUCCUCAACUC